GACGAACGCUGGCGGCGUGCUUAACACAUGCAAGUCGAACGGAAAGGCCCUGCUUUUGUGGGGUGCUCGUGUGGCGAACGGGUGUGUAACACGCGAGUAACCUGCCCUUGACUUUGGGAUAACUUCAGGAAACUGGGGCGAAUACCGGAUAGGAGCUCCUGCUGCAUGGGGGGGGUUGGAAAGUGUCGGCGGUUGGGGCUGGACUCGCGGCUUAUCAGCUUGUUUGUGGGGUAGUGGCUUACCAAGGCUUCGACGGGUAGCCGGCCUGAGAGGGUGACCGGCCACCAUGGGACUGAGGUACGGACCAGACUCCUACCGGAGGCAGCAGUGGAGAAUAUUGCACAAUGGCCGGACGCCUGAUACAGCAACGCCGCGUGCGGGAUGCCGGCCUUCGGGUUGUAAACCGCUUUCGAAUGUGACGAAGCGUGAGUGACGGUAAUGGGUAAAGAAGCACCGGCUAACUACGUG
Molecule: ribosomal RNA, 468 nt
Filed under: uncultured bacterium
Lineage: Bacteria
Description: partial 16S ribosomal RNA
Rfam family: Bacterial small subunit ribosomal RNA
Source: RNAcentral